Molecule: transfer RNA, 64 nt
Filed under: Eysarcoris aeneus
Lineage: Eukaryota; Metazoa; Arthropoda; Insecta; Hemiptera; Pentatomidae
Description: tRNA-Gly
Source: RNAcentral
AUCUUUUUAGUAUAAAAAUUAUAUUUGACUUCCAAUCAAAAGAUCUUAUUAAUAAGAAAAGAUA